UACAGAGGUCUCAACCGUUGUUCGGAUUUAUUGGGCGUAAAGGGUGCGUAGGCGGCGGGGUAAGUCAGGUGUGAAAUCUCGGGGCUCAACCCCGAAACUGCACUUGAUACUGCCUUGCUCGAGUACUGGAGAGGAGACUGGAAUUUACGGUGUAGCAGUGAAAUGCGUAGAUAUCGUAAGGAAGACCAGUGGCGAAGGCGGGUCUCUGGACAGUUCCUGACGCUGAGGCACGAAGGCCAGGGGAGCAAACGGG
Molecule: ribosomal RNA, 253 nt
Filed under: uncultured bacterium
Lineage: Bacteria
Description: partial 16S ribosomal RNA
Rfam family: Bacterial small subunit ribosomal RNA
Source: RNAcentral